Molecule: ribosomal RNA, 396 nt
Filed under: uncultured bacterium
Lineage: Bacteria
Description: partial 16S ribosomal RNA
Rfam family: Bacterial small subunit ribosomal RNA
Source: RNAcentral
AAUAUUGCACAAUGGGCGCAAGCCUGAUGCAGCGACGCCGCUAGGAGGAUGAAGGCCUUCGAGUCGUAAACACCUGCUUGGGGGGAUGAAAACAGACAAUACCCCCGGCAGAAGCCCCGGCAAACUACGUGCCAGCAGCCGCGGUAACACGUAGGGGGCGAGCGUUGUCCGGAAUUACUGGGCGUAAAGCGCGCGCAGACGGCUUGUUAAGUCAGGUGUCAAAAUGCGGGGCUCAACCCCGUAUCGCACUUGAAACUGGCAGGCUUGAGUGCAGGAGAGGGAAGUGGAAUUCCUAGUGUAGCGGUGAAAUGCGUAGAUAUUAGGAGGAACACCAGUGGCGAAGGCGACUUCCUGGACUGUAACUGACGCUGAGGCGCGAAAGCUAGGGGAGCAAAC